CCCGAACCGCCUAUCUUGGGUAGGGCAUAAGCCAUGCGAGGUCUCGCGCCCGGGGGCGCCCGGGAGCGGCGCACUUGCUCACUAACACUCUGCCCAACCUACCCUCUUGGAGGGGGACACCCCCGGGAAACUGGGGCCAAUCCCCCAUAGGGGAAGGGCGCUGGAAGGCCCCCUCCCCGAAAGGACGGCGGCCGAUCCGCCGCCGCCCGCCCGAGGAUGGGGGCACGGCCCAUCAGGUAGUUGGCGGGUUAAAGGCCCGCCAAGCCGAAGACGGGUAGGGGCGGUGAGAGCCGCGAGCCCCGAGAUCGGCACUGAGACAAGGGCCGAGGCCCUACGGGGUGCAGCAGGCGCGAAUACUCCGCAAUGCGGGCAACCGCGACGGGGCUACCCCGAGUGCCGGGCGAAGAGCCCGGCUUCUGCCCGGUCUAAAACGCCGGGAGAAUAAGCGGGGGGCAAGUCUGGUGUCAGCCGCCGCGGUAAUACCAGCUCCGCGAGUGGUCGGGGUGUUUACUGGGCUUAAAGCGCCCGUAGCCGGCCCGGCAAGUCGCUCCUGAAAUCCCAGGGCUCAACCCUGGGGCAGGGGGCGAUACUGCCGGGCUAUGGGGCGGAAGAGGCCGCCGGUACUCCGGGGGUAGGGGCGAAAUCCGUUAAUCCCCGGGAGGACCACCAGUGGCGAAAGCGGGCGGCCAGAACGCGCCCUAACGGUGAGGGGCGAAAAGCCGGGGGGAGCAAAAGGGGAUUAGAUACCCCCUGUAUUCCCGGGCGUUAAA
RNAcentral lists this ribosomal RNA (770 nucleotides) under uncultured archaeon. Its description in RNAcentral is "bacterial SSU rRNA". It matches the Rfam family "Archaeal small subunit ribosomal RNA", at positions 17 to 758 of the family's 1478-position model. The record is from RNAcentral.